GUUGUGGCUCAGUGGUAGAGUGCUUGCCUGUCAUUAUGAAGCAUUGGGUUCAAUUCUCAGCACCACG
RNAcentral lists this transfer RNA (67 nucleotides) under Marmota monax (woodchuck). Its description in RNAcentral is "tRNA.Undet". Lineage: Eukaryota; Metazoa; Chordata; Mammalia; Rodentia; Sciuridae. The record is from RNAcentral.